UAUUUAUGGCCUGGUUGGCAGGCGGCCGCGGGGGAGCCGGAACAGCGCGCCGGGCAGGGGGGACCUGCCCGGUCCGACGCGAGGGGGAGGAUGGACACUCCAGCCGCAUUCUGAGCCUGUGUGGAAGAUAACAUCCUUAAGCUACCCAGUCGUCCAGCCUACACCACCCACCCCCUCGUCCCCUCUACUAGUAGAUCUCCCGGAGUCGGAAGCGCGAAAAAAACGCGCGAUGGCAGACGGCGUAAAUAAGCUGGCCCAAAGCGAAUCUUUUCAAGCGCUGCAGGAUAAAGUCUCCUACUGGGCGAAUGACUAUCAGGCAAACUCCUGUGAUCAAAAUCUAAAUUAUUGCAUCGAACUCAUUGAACAAGUUGCAAAAGUGCAGGCACAGCUCUUUGGGAUCCUCACUGUGACAGCCCAAGAAGGGGGACGUAAUGAAGGUGUGGAGACAAUCAAGUGUCGCCUUUUGCCCUUGCUGCAGACUUCCUUCAGUUCUCUAAACAUGGGAAAGAUUAUUGAUACUGAGAUUCAUCCUAUACAGGAUUUCUGUGAUAGAAAUAAAACCAAAGACAAUUCUCUGGAUCAGGACCAACAACAUUCAGAUGGUGAAUUGAUGCCAGAGAGUCAACCAAACCAGGUUCAAGACGAUCUGGCUGAAAGUGGGAAGAGUCUUGAAGGAGGCAAGAACGGAUCAACCAUAUCCCUCCUGGCUGCAGAGGAGGAGAUAAAUCAGCUAAAAAAGCAGCUCAAAACUCUUCAAGCCCAGGAGGACGCCCGGCACAAAAACUCAGAGAAUCGUCGAUCUGAGAGUUUAAAAACUGAUCGUCGAGGUUCAGCCAAACGAGCCUCAGACUCACGGCCCCAAGGCGUGGUGUCCAACUAUGAGAAACAUCUGCAAAAUCUGAAGGACGAGAUAGCUGUCUUGUCUGCUGAAAAAAAUGGUCUCCAGGGAAGGCCUGCCAGGAGCCGGUCUCCUAGCCCACGCACCCACAGCCGCCGUCGGGGCCGCAGCCACAGCCGCAGCCACAGCCACAGCCGCAGUCGCAGCCGCAGCCGGUCCAAUAGUCCCUGCACCACAGUGGCCAAGAUCAGAAGCCCGUCCCCAAACCAUUCCAAAAUGUCCAGCGUAGCUCGCAAAGCUGCUCUCCUGUCCCGAUUCAGCGACGCCUAUUCCCAGGCCCGCCUGGAUGCUCAGUGUUUGCUGAGGCGUUGCAUCGACAGGGCUGAGACCGUGCAGCGGAUCAUUUACAUCGCCACAGUGGAGGCAUUUCAUGUAGCUAAAAUGGCAUUCAGGCAUUUCAAAAUGCGGGUGAGGAAGAUGCUGACGCCAUCGAAUGUUGGAUCCAACGACUUUGAGACUGCAGUCUCCGAAUAUAUCGUUUGUCACCUGGACCUGUAUGACUCUCAAAGCAGUGUCAAUGAUGUGAUCCGUGCCAUGAACGUCAACCCCAAGAUCUCAUUCCCUCCUGAAGUUGACUUCUGCCUCCUCACUGAAUUCAUCCAGGAGAUUUGCUGCAUCGCUUUUGCCAUGCAGUCCUUAGAUCCACCCCUUGAUAUCGCAUUUGGGGCAGAUGGAGAAGUCUUUAACGAUUGCAAGUACCGCCGCAGCUACGACUCGGACUUCACUGCACCCUUGGUCUUUUAUCAUGUGUGGCCUGCUCUCAUGGAGAGUGACUGUGUCAUCAUGAAGGGAGAAGCUGUCACCAAGAGAGGGGCUUUUGUACGGUGGCCUUGCAUAGUGACAGUUCAUCCCCAGUGUUUGCUUCACAAUGUGUCACCCACAGGACCUUAAUGAUUCACAAUUAAAACAGCACACGAAUUUGGUGCAGAGUCUUCUUCACGUGGACUCAGUAGCUGGUCAACAGAGGGCUCUUACUGCGUCCAGUGAGAUUUCUUCCUUCUGUAAUAUCCAUGCCUUCAGUGCAGCAUCAAGGUGGUUCAGAUCUAACCUGCAUGUCCCACCCACCCAAGCCCAAAGCCAAGCGUGAUUCCUAACAGCUUACUCAGAGAAACACUGUGGAGCACCAGAAUGGUGGAGCUCUGUGCGACCAGUAAUGCGAUGCCGUAGCAGGAGCUUAAGCCCCAUUUGUCCUCGUAGUCGUUUUGGAAUAAGCACGGUACAUUCCUGUGUAACCAUUCCUGCAGACAACC
Mastomys coucha (southern multimammate mouse) is the source of this 2148-nucleotide RNA transcript. It is a transcript of the gene named spermatogenesis associated 18, with no coding region annotated. NCBI's taxonomy places the organism in Eukaryota, Metazoa, Chordata, Mammalia, Rodentia, Muridae. The transcript is spliced from 12 exons. The record is from RefSeq and is a predicted model, not a curated record.